UUCAUUCACUGUAAGAGAAAAUAAGAUUGAAUCUUAAGCAGCAUUGAUUAAGGUUGAAUGGAGAAAUGAAAUUGAAAGAUAGGUGCCUCAUGGAGAAUUCUGCAAAAAGUUAUGUGAGAAGUCUUUGGGAUUUGGUAAUGUUAUAAAUGGCUUAGUUAUGGAACCCUCAGUAAUUGAACUGCUUGAAGUUUUCUGUGAGGGAGAAUAUGGCUAUUAAAGGAUGGAAGUAUGAGUUUUAAGAUUACGAUCAGAAGUUAGAAGCCUAAUUUGCUAAAUACUGUAUUUGGUAAAAAUAUGAAUGCAUUUGGUGGUAGAGUGAGUGGAUGCCUGUUUGACUGCAAAAUGCAGGUGAAUUGGGAAAUUGGGGGGGGAUAUAAAUUCUCCAAUAGAAGCAUACAGUUGUGGGAUUACAAAACAUUUGAUACCAGGGCUGUGCAGUGCUUUGUAUUGAAAGAGGGGGGGAAAUGAUUUGGAACACGUGAAGGUGCUCAUGUUGUACCUAUUUACAUUUUCUUAAGCAGCUGCAUCUUUCCCUGGGGUUCCACACUUGCCUAAUGCAGAUGCAAUACCAUCCUGUAAAAAAUUGUGUUUGGUUUUAGUGGUCAUAGAUUAUGCUAUUUGUGUACCCCAGUGUGUUUCAGGCAUCUUUUUGUUUUCCAAUACAAAAUCUAAGGUAUGAUUUUGAGCCAAGAAGCUGUAGGCUUCUCAGUUGCCAUGCUACUGUCUAGAUAUCCUGUCCAUCCCUUUUAAUAGCACUGAGCAUAAACUUCCCAUUGCCACUGAUGUAUGUAAGGGAGAUGAAGAGGAGGUUGAAAAAGGCAACAGAAGUGAGGAAAUGCAAGAUGCCCAGAGCCAAUAUUUCAAGGCAAUUAACACUGAGGAAGAGAACUGGUUGGAAAAUGGACCCGUAAAGAUGGUAAGUCAUAAGAAAAGAGAUCAAUACCACAGCACUGUAUUUAUUUUCCAAGAAAGAAGAGCUGUGAAUCUGAGUUCCUGAAAGAACUUUUGUACACGCUGCUAAAACUUGGAAACUUUCAUCACACUAGUAUGAUCUACCAUCACUUAAUUAACACAUUUCGAAUGAAAUUCAUUGAACUUGCAAAAAAAAAAAAAAACGGAUUGAAAUUGAAGUAAAUGUGUACACUUCAGCUUCCUGUAGGUGGAGCUAUUUAGUUCAUGUAAUUAAUUAUUGCUAAAAUGAAAAAUUGGACUUAAGGUUUAAGAUGGAGGAACCAGAAGGAGAAAGAUAAUGUCUGAAAUUACGUUUAAGUUUAAGAUAAAAUUUACCUUCGGCCAGAACAACAAUUGUGUCCCCUUUCUGAAACUCCAGAUCUUCUGCCUGAGUGGCUUCAAUCAGCCUAUGCAGAUUCAUCCCAGGAAGAGUUCUUGAGGGCCUUUACUGCCCAAGGAGAAUCAAGGUAGCCCUUUCUUACUGUUGGCCCCAUGCUAUGGAAUAUCCUCGCCCCUGAAUCACAGGGCAACCCCAUUUUAUUUGUCUUUGACGAAGCUGUGAAAACCACCCUAUUCAAGCAGAGUUUCAAUGUGAGUGGUGGAUUGGGCUAUUUUGUAAUUUUUUGUGGUAUCUAUGGUGGAGUGAUUUAUGGAUUAUUGUAAUGGUCUGUGAGCAUAAACUUGGGAUAUUGGAGGAAGAACCACAGUCUAGACAACCGUCUGAAAAGAGGAAUCUGAAUCUAAAUAAGGGAUGGAGAUGGAGGAAGCAUCUCAGAAAAGAACCAUCCUAAUUCUUCAGACUUGCAAAUUUCUGUUACUGUAUAACCUUAUAAGAAAAGUACUGUUAGUAUUCAUGGUUCUGGUUUCCUGUCUGCAUUAUCUCAAGGCACUAACAUCAAUCUGGUUGAAAUACAGUGGUGUUGAAAUGUUGUAAUAAAUACAUAUAUACACGUGUUGUCGGUUCACAUUAAAAAUAGUAUCAACAUCUUCUAGUCAUAAUCUGGAGCACAUAAAUGAUAUUGCUUUGGCAUCAGAGGUUCCAAUUAGCUAUUACGGUAAAUAAUACUGCUGGAUAUUUAACUUUAAUAUUAAAGUUAAAACCAGAUUGUAAAAUCAGUGGUAGUUUAUCCAUACAACAGUAGGGAAGUUAGACAACAAAUCUAACCGCUCUUUAAAAAAUCCAAAAUUCAAAGUUUAUUAUAUGUUAAAACAAAUAUUAAAACUGAAAGCUUGCUUGUAAUGUUAUGCUUUUUGUCUAACCAGGCACUUUCUAUAUCCUUGCAUAUCUUUAUCCUUGCAUAUUUUAUUGGCUGUUAUAUAUAAAAUUGUAUUCACACAAUUUGGAUGUUGUUCAUCUUUCUGCUUUCCCAUGAAGAAAAAAAAAAUCCAUGGAUAACAAGUGUAGUAUAGAGCGACAAGAUCUUGUCUGUUCUGAAAAAAGCAGCAUGGAAUAGAAAUAACUGUUUGAUAUUUACAGACCUUAUGAAACUGUGCAUAUGCAGUUACUUUCUUGUCAGAAAGAAAAUGUAGAUUUUCCCAGAUAAAUGUAUUUUCUAUUGACUAAGAAAAGGUGAAAGGUAAACCUUGAGUUAUCUUUUUAUAAAGCUAUUUCACAUUUGUAAGGCAUUUAUGUUAAUCUGUUGAUGGUAAAGAUAUAUAGAAUUGUGACAUUUUCCAAUAGCUAUUUCAACCCAUCAACCUCAUUGGGUAGGCCAGUAAUGGCUAACCUUUUCUGGACCAAGUGGCCAAAGCGUGUGUGUGUGUGAGAAUGCACAUGUGCAUGCCCAACCCCCCAAAAUGCAAUGUGCGCACAGCCCUGUGCACAUGCCCCACUCCCUGCGCAUGCGCACAUGUCCCCCCGCAGCACCCCGCCCCACGCAGCAGAGAGCCGAAGACCAGUUGGCCAACGGGAGGCGCGCACACAUGCACAGUAGAGCUGAACUGGGGCGAUGGCUCGCAUGCCAUCAGAAAGGGUGCUAUGUGCUACCUCUGGCAUGCGUGCCAUAAAUUUGCCAUCAUGGGGAAGGCCAUUGCCCAUAAGUGCUGUGGUGGCGCAGUGGUUAGAAUGUAGUGCUGCAGACUACUUCUGCUAACUGCUGGCUGCCUGCAAUUUGGUAGAUUGAAUCUCACCAGGCUCAAGGUUGACUCAGCCUUCCAUCCUUCUAAGGUGGGUAAAACAAGGACCCAGAUUGUUGGGAGCAAUAUGCUCUCUGUAAACCACUUAGAGAGGACUGUAAAGCACUGUGAAGCGAUAUAUAAGUCUAAGUGCUAUUGCUAUCUCAUCCUCUGUCAUCCCCUUCUCCUUUUGUCUUCAGUUGUUUCCAACAUCAGGGUCUUUUCCAGUGAGUCCUCUUUUCUCAUUUGGUGGCCAAAGUAUUUUUACAUACAUUGUUACUACCGUAUUUACAGUAUGUUUUAAUGAUGUAGUUUCACCAACUUACUUGUAUCUCAGCUAGAUUAUUUCCAAGUCUAACCUGUGGUCCAGUGUAUGCACAUCACUUAGAAUGAUUGUAUUUUACAUUAAUUUAGGGAUCAACCUACCAAUUUGUCAUUGCUGCCAAAUCCCCUCCCAAAGUUGCACUGAUGUUGUAAUUUUUAAUGUGUAAGAAGAAAAAAGUUGUUAACACAUGGGAAAUAAUUGUAUGAACAGUACUAAUUACAUUUAAUUUAAAUGUAAAUUAAAUGUAGUUUGUGAUAGCUUCAUCCACCUUUGGGAAUGAAAGGCAAAAUGCAGUCUCCCACCUGGCAAAUGAGGCAUAUUAAACACAAUGAAGCCUAAUCAGUCUUUCAAAUUAUAACUUCUAGUUCACCAAGUAUUUUAAGCCAAUGGAUGUGUCCUAUUUGCAUGCCAGAAUAAUACAUCCAUAUUACAUCCAAUUUGUUAUCUGCCAUGAUUUACUGUAUACAUUCUGCAUAUUCUCCUUCAAAGCAGUAAUAAAAAAUCACCAGAA
Molecule: non-coding RNA, 3902 nt
Organism: Pantherophis guttatus
Lineage: Eukaryota; Metazoa; Chordata; Lepidosauria; Squamata; Colubridae
Source: RefSeq, a predicted model, not a curated record